This 1633-nucleotide long non-coding RNA is filed under the name Lathyrus oleraceus (garden pea). RNAcentral describes it as "Pisum sativum (pea) long non-coding RNA (PSAT_LNC037937)". Lineage: Eukaryota; Viridiplantae; Streptophyta; Magnoliopsida; Fabales; Fabaceae. The record is from RNAcentral.
CUUCAUUUCAUUUUACUUUCCAUUUAACUAGAAACCCUUCUUUUCAAAUCCCAUAGGACUAAUUCCAUAAUAAUUAUUCAAUACACAUUCAAAGUCCAUAAUCUCUCAUUAAUCCAUUUCAUUCAAUAAUUAACUUUUCUUUAAACCAAAACAUUUCAUUUAAUUCAAUUUCUAAUGCUCAUAUUCAUAUAUUCUUUUCAUGUUGAAUACUUUCACAUUCAAUUUCAAUUAACAUUUCAAAACAUUUUCCAACCAAGUUAAAACCAUUUCAACAUAACUUUUCAAAAAUCAUUUCAAACACUUUGACACCAUUUCAAACUUAACAUUCAAAUCCAUUUCAAUCCGUUAUUAAUCAACUUUUAUUCAAACCAUUUCAAAUGCAUUUUAAAUUAACUUUUAAUUAAUAUUUCAAUCCAUUUCAAAUUAAGUUUUAUUCAAACCAUUCCAAAUCCAUUUCAAAUUAGUAACUAACAGCAAUGCGAUUCAUAACAAAAAUUAAAGUUCAAAGUAACAGUUCACAAGCAGCUCAAACUAACUAACCUAACAUUGUUUCUAACUACAAUAACUAAUCUAACAGAGUUUACAUCAGCUUAACCAUAACAGAAAUCGGAUCUUCAACUAACUUGAAUUGUAAAUCCUAAUAGAUUUUUGACAAGAGAUUUAAUCCUAACUGAAUUGAACUUGGAUUAUUCAACAGAGUUAACACUCUGUUAAUUCAUUUCCUCUAUUUAUAGCAAACUUCAGUGCCAUUUGCAUCUCUCUCAUUGUUUGGCUAUCAAUCACACACUUCAAAUUCCCUCUCACUUCCCUCUCAAUCGAUCACUCAUCACAAUCAAACACACGCACACACAUACAGUAACCACAACGCAGAGGAAGAGCAGUAAGAACACAAACGUAAAAGAGAACAAGAAGAUGGUUGAUUCAGAAACAGAGGAAGAAGAAGGUCGUACCUAUUUUUGCCGCCGCGUCGAAACCAGUGAGUUUUUGCUUCCUUCCACAAUUCAUUAUCAUUGUUGGACUCGUGUCCGCUGAGGCUUGAAUUGAUCGAAUCAAGCGUUGAAAUUCUGAGAUGCGAAUGUAAUGCGGAGGAGGUUGAAGUUGUUGAGAUGGAAUCCUCGAGGCUCUAAAACAUGAUGCCUUGAUUCGAAGGUGAAGAAGAUGAGGAACUGAUGUUGAAUCCGUGAAUCACGCACGGACGUGAUUAUUAUGAACGUUGAAGCGUGAUGCUCGAUUGAAGCCACAUCACUAUUGAAUCACGUUUGACGAUGAUGGAGAUUGAAUUUUUGAAAGCUUUUUGAGGAACUCAGAUGUUAGUUUCGGACUUGAUUGUGAAAUUAUUAGAGCGGAUACAUGAAAACGCGGAAGAAGAAUUUCUGAGGAUGACUGAAGGACUGGGAUCGCGUUGUCAUGGCCGCUUCGCAGGGCAUCAAGGUUGAAGGUUGAAGUCUCCCUUUAGGGAUUUGAAAUAUUUUGGAUAAGAUGGCCAAGGAUUUGGGUGGGCCUUCAAUCAUUGCCCAAGUUUUUUCCUUCUACACCCUACGACACGUGAUCCACGCUCUCCUCUAUCCAACAGUUCAGUGCCUGGGCCUAAGGCCUCAUGACCAAACUUUUUUUCCUUGGCACACCUGCCUUG